This 1266-nucleotide long non-coding RNA is filed under the name Heterocephalus glaber (naked mole-rat). Its description in RNAcentral is "lncRNA (ENSHGLG00100038169.1)". Lineage: Eukaryota; Metazoa; Chordata; Mammalia; Rodentia; Bathyergidae. The record is from RNAcentral.
GGCGCUUUUCGGGGCCCGCCUCCAGCAAGCCUGGAAUGCCAAAUAUUUACUCGUGCUGCUAGGCGCAGCCGCGAGGUAGGUCCCACCCCUUGCAUCCCCAAGCGCGCCUGCGUCAGGCCUGGGCCCUGCUCCCUAGCUAACUUCCCCUCACCUGUCCUGCCCAACCCACUCAGUUCCUAAAAUGCCCGUGGUGUGUAUUGCACCUUGUCUGGGCUCCCGCUCCUACAGAACAGCCUCGGUGUCCCCGCAGGGCUUUCCUGGCGCUGCUUGUCUCGGUCUCGCUCCACCUAGCGCCCCCACUCGUUGAGGUUCGAGGUAGACCCUUUUCCUUCUUGGUUAGUGCUCGUCUGGACGUCAGACAUCCAGAAAGCCUCCCUCUGGAGUGACCCUGACGUUGUGGCACCCCUGGCUGUCCUUAUUCACACUGGUGAGACACUCAUGCGUGUCCAAGUCUUGGCUGGAAGGUGAGUCCAAAGUACCAUGUUGGCAGUAUAGGGCGGUUCCCCCCAGCAUCCACAAGCCCAUCCAACUGCCCCAAUACCAUAACUUCCCAAUAUAGAACUUGGACUUCUUGAAAAUGCAAAUCGUUUCAAUAACGUGGGGUGCUUCCUUUGCUGAGUUCCUCACUGAAUGGGUUCUUUGGGGUAGCCUUAUUAUGAAACAACUUGUGCCCCUCUGCUGAUAACCAAACUUACGUCACAAUUCAUUACUUAUGUAUUGUUUCUCUCAUCUGAUUCUCGAGGUGGGACUUCCUCCAGUGCAUAUCACGGGGCCUGACACUCAAUGAAUGAAUGGUGUUGCUGCUCCCACCUUCGGAUAUUCCAUCAAUAAGUCCUGCUGGACUACAGGGCUUUUGGAGUAGUGAGUAGGGUAUUAUCUGUGGGUUUUCCUCCCUUGAUAGCUGGUCUCUGCUUUUCCUCAUUUUCACCUUUCAAAAUACCUCUCUCAAGCCAGCCAUUAUGGUACACACCUGUAAUCCCAGCACACAGGAGACUGAUGCAGGAGGAUCGCUGGCCUCAAAUUCACGGCAAUCCUCCUGCCUCAGCCUCCCAGGAGCUAGGAUUAUAGGCAUGCACCACUACACCCAGGUUCCUUCCUUUUUUGGCCAAAAAACAUCCCGCGAAGGAACAAGAUUCCACACGAGGCUACUCCAAGGGACCCUCACUAGCCGGGUCAGACCUAUCUGCCCCACCUCAAUGGCCCAGCAACUACCAGCUGACCUCACUGCUACUACUUCUGAUCUGAGCCUUCAGAGCACCUUUGGCG